Pezoporus flaviventris is the source of this 1197-nucleotide long non-coding RNA. RefSeq lists it as uncharacterized. NCBI's taxonomy places the organism in Eukaryota, Metazoa, Chordata, Aves, Psittaciformes, Psittacidae. The transcript is spliced from 3 exons. The record is from RefSeq and is a predicted model, not a curated record.
CUUAACCCAAGCGCAUACCUUGGAGAAAUGCCUUUGCACCCCUAUUUUCUCAAAGGUAAACCAGAGACAACCAUGUCUGCUUACGUGAUAGUGUUGUUCAGGUCAUACUAUUUAUAACCUGCACCAUAUAAGAGCACAUCUCACUCCCUAUUUAAAUUACACCAGUAUAAGAAAUUGCAGCUUGCUCUGAAGUAAGCUACACAGAGGUUUUCACUGGUGGAAGCCAGUAGGAAGUAGGGACAGAGGGAGGAGGUGGGAGGUACUGAUUGAGCAGAAACUGUCUUUGUGAUCUCUGGAACUUGCCUUACUGAUAACUGGAGGGGGAUUUUCCUAAUAGAAAACCUGUGAGCUAUAUGAGGAGGAUAAUCCACUUGACCCUUGCCCUCUGCUAAGCCUUCAAGCCAUCAUGACAUUUCAUUUCUCACCAGCUGCAAGGCCACUUAUUGGAAUUCAUUUCGAUUGCAAUGCAAAGCCAACAUUGCUCAGCCCAGGAGGAAGACCAGAAGGGGGAUGUCGGAGCAGGGCACGUGAGCAGGGACAUAGUGAUCAUAUUUGGAGAGGGUGAGAGCUGGUGGCAGCGAGGAUGAUAAACAGGGUGUGUUUAUGCAAGUGACCUUAUUUAUAUCAGCAUGCCAAGGAAGGACCAAAUGUACUGCACUGAAGGAAAGGCACUCCUAAGGAGGAGAAAGAAAACCUUCAUUUGAAACCGCAGGAAACCAAAGGCUGGGUGUAACCAGCUUCAAAUCCAGACAAGCUUCAGCGUAUAACUUCAUGUGCUACUGUUUUCAUCGUUUAGCAUAUCACAUGGAUGGGUGGCACUGUAAAAUGCACAGAGUAUCACUGUCAGAGGUGCUUUCACUGCCUGUGCAGGUCCAGACCUAAACUUGGGGAUACGAUGGGGAUAUGGUGUAAGAGGACAUGGGUGGAGGUGAAGAGGUGGGGAUGGAUGCACUUUGCAAGUCACCAAGCUCACUGCCUCUGAGAAAGUGGAAAACCUUUUCUGACAAAGAGGUUUCCAUGGGGUUUGAAGGCAAGGUGCAGCUCUGCUGGCCAGCCAUGUGUUAAGGGACCUCUGGUAGGAGAAUAUCUCCUGCUGUGAUCCCACCUAAUCUUGGGAAGCAAUGCAAGCCAGCUGUGGUGAUGCCUCUGCAAGGUGCCUUGCCAGCCAAUGCUCCCUUUCCAACACUGUACCCCAUA